AGAGCCCAGACUACAAUAAAAUGCUACAAUAUGCUUUCAAGCUGGAGCGACUAAAAAGCUGGGAAGGGAAAGCGGCAGUAUAAUGUCUAUUUUUAUCUUCAACUAUAAUCUACCCACUUGUAGUUUCAUAGCUGUCAGGAGGCAGAAAAGGACAUGUAAUCAGCCUACCGUUCUCUGCUCGCAUCCUACACCUGCGUGGCAUGAAUGUGGGUGUGUGUGCACAUACACAGAUACUUCAACACACUGUCAGAGGGUUCGAUUGAACUCACACCUGAAGCCAGAUUUUUUUUUAGAAGUUGUCCCUUUGUUCAUUAUUUCUUGGCCAUUUUCUGGGUCCCGAAGGAUAAUUGUUAGCCUUGGAUGACCAGAAGGAGCAGCUAUGCACCUAUUAGUCUUUUUCAGCCUUGGCCACACUGUGUUAUGAGAAUUCCUAACCUCCUUAACACUACUCACUGGUUUGGUGAUUAUCUAUCUCCUUGAGAGAAAGCAAGUAUGACCCAAUGGAAAUAGCACAGCCUUGGAGUCGGGACACCUGAGCAUCUUGCCUCGUUCUGCCAUGUCCAAACUCUGUGACCUCCAGCAAGUUCCUUUACCACUCUGAACCUCAGUGUCCUCAUCUGCAGAGGGACGACAACCCCUAUUUGAUGACUGUUGAAAGAAUUCAAGAUAAUGUAUGCAAACAACUUACCGACACUUGUACAUUCAACUAUCAUCUUCUUCAAAGAAGAAACUGUGGCGGGUGCUAUUCCACAACCCAUGUUUAUGUCCAAGCUUUGUUGGAUUCCUGUUUGGGAAUUUCCUUCCGAGGCGGGCGGUGUCGCAUUCAUUUGAAGUCAGUCAAUCAUGUCCUCCUGGAACUCCAGUAAGACAAGUCUUGCCUUUCAUGUGGACUCAUACAAUGUAGGUGCUCACAUUGGUGGAGUAAGAAGCGCUGCACAGAAAUAGCUCAUCGGCAGAAUUGUGCUCUCAAGGAUGGGUAUCUUCAAGCCAUCCUUGACUCUCUAGAGCAGAAAGACAAACAAGUAUAAUGCUGAGGAGGGGGAAGAAUAUUUAACUGCAGGCAGAAGAAUCUCACGUGAAAUUUUUACAAGUGAGGAAACGGAAGCACAAAAAGGCUGUGCUAAGGUCAAGCAGAUCUUACUGCCUAACAGGUA
This is a long non-coding RNA of Symphalangus syndactylus (siamang), 1154 nucleotides long. RefSeq lists it as uncharacterized. Lineage: Eukaryota; Metazoa; Chordata; Mammalia; Primates; Hylobatidae. The record is from RefSeq and is a predicted model, not a curated record.